Molecule: long non-coding RNA, 555 nt
Organism: Gossypium arboreum
Lineage: Eukaryota; Viridiplantae; Streptophyta; Magnoliopsida; Malvales; Malvaceae
Exons: 2
Source: RefSeq, a predicted model, not a curated record
CUGGUUCCUCUUUUCUUUUAAUUUUCAAAACCCUCACAAGCCCUCACUUCACCCUUUUUGCUCCAGCCGAUCGGGCUCUCUAACUGCCCGUCGUACCACCACCGUACCCGGUGGCCGCCAAGCGCAGAGAUGGGCUUUUUAGCCUCGUUUUGAGGCACACUCGAAGGCCAUGCCUUCUCAGCCCCAAAGAAACUGAAACAAAGGUCCUCCCUCCCCUUUUGGCUCGACUUCGGCGAUUGGAGAAGAGAUCUCCGGCGAUGAGUCCGUGGGAAGAUCAAGGUGGUUGUCAGAGACUGAUGAAGAGGCGCGCGUGGUGGCCUUGCUGGUGAAGAGCGGCGGCUGAAGAAGGGGACUAGGGUUUGUUUGCUUGCUGAAAAUUUUUUAUAGCUAAUGGGCUAGGGUUAGUUGGUUUUGGGCUUUUGUAAUUGGGUCUGAUGGGUUUGGUUUAGUGGUUAGGUGGGUUAAGGUUUGUUUAGGCCCCGGCCAAAAUUGGGCUGUACAAAUGGAUUAUAGCCAUGGAAGAAAAAUCAAGAAGAAAUAGAAUUUUAAACCCAA